GAGUUUGAUCGUGGCUCAGAUUGAACGCUGGCGGCAUGCCUUACACAUGCAAGUCGAACGGCAGCAUGAUCUAGCUUGCUAGAUUGAUGGCGAGUGGCGAACGGGUGAGUAAUACAUCGGAACGUGCCCUGUAGUGGGGGAUAACUAGUCGAAAGAUUAGCUAAUACCGCAUACGACCUGAGGGUGAAAGUGGGGGACCGCAAGGCCUCAUGCUAUAGGAGCGGCCGAUGUCUGACUAGCUAGUUGGUGGGUAAAGGCCCACCAAGGCGACGAUCAGUAGCUGGUCUGAGAGGACGAUCAGCCACACUGGGACUGAGACACGGCCCAGACUCCUACGGGAGGCAGCAGUGGGGAAUUUUGGACAAUGGGCGAAAGCCUGAUCCAGCAAUGCCGCGUGUGUGAAGAAGGCCUCGG
RNAcentral lists this ribosomal RNA (414 nucleotides) under uncultured microorganism. RNAcentral describes it as "bacterial SSU rRNA". It matches the Rfam family "Bacterial small subunit ribosomal RNA", at positions 9 to 420 of the family's 1533-position model. The record is from RNAcentral.